RNAcentral lists this ribosomal RNA (669 nucleotides) under Triticum aestivum (bread wheat). RNAcentral's name for it is "partial small subunit ribosomal RNA". Lineage: Eukaryota; Viridiplantae; Streptophyta; Magnoliopsida; Poales; Poaceae. The record is from RNAcentral.
AUGGAAGCGAUUGCAUUCAACAGCCAGGCAAUCCGUUUCAACAGCGUGCUAGAAACCGGUAGGACCAAUGAUUUCAAUCGCGUCGGGUUCAACCCCACAGAAAUGCCAGAUGGACAUUUCUGGUACCUAGCCAUGGACUUUGUCACCACACUAAGUUCUACGACCGAGGUUACGAUGUCGGCGCAGCAGAUAACGUCGACAAUUUGCCCACCGUGCUUCCCACAGUUUGGAGAAAUCUUUGAGCUAUGGGACAAAACCAUCACAGAUGUGGUUGCUAUCCUUGCCUAUGUUGGUCAGAUAGAAUUUAAGUGGGAUUCAAUAUAUAGGCGCCGCGUCCCUUCCCUCGAGAUUGGACUCAUGAACUUUCAACAGCAGAUAAUUUUCUUACGUGUACGUGAAGAGCACGUUGGGCCUCACUUCUGGCAUUUGCAAUACACUGACAAUCUGUUCGAGAAGUUUGCUGUAACUUACAUACAGGUAAAUCAGAGGCAGCGUUGCUUGCAAACUAUGAGGGAGAGCACAUUCUUCUUCUCUUCCAAUAUUAUUGAUGAUCAUCAUUAUCUACAAGAUAUCCAUGAAGCCAGCCUGAUGACACUUGAUGAAACACAUGCGUACGUCAAUCGUGUUAUUCAAGGUAGGAACAAUGGACGUCAGAAGUAUCACAGCUGA